Molecule: long non-coding RNA, 1485 nt
Organism: Rosa chinensis
Lineage: Eukaryota; Viridiplantae; Streptophyta; Magnoliopsida; Rosales; Rosaceae
Exons: 4
Source: RefSeq, a predicted model, not a curated record
GCCACAUCUCCCUCGUUUAUAAAAUUAAAACUAUUUUCAACUUUGUAUAAGAAAACACUUGCUUAACCCUGUUCGAGUCCUCCUGUCUCCUCCCCGAGUCCUCACAUCUUUUCUCUCGUUCUCUCUUUUUUUCCUUUCUAUGGAACAUAAUGGUAAAUCGUCUUCCAUUCUCCGUGUUUUCUUCUUUGUUUCCUCUAUAUGGGUGAUUUGGAUUUAGGGAAAUCAAUUGGGGAUUAAUUUUUCAGGGUUCGGGAAUUUGAGAUUGGGGGCUAGGGUUUCGGUCUCAAUUUGAAUUUUGUUAACUGUUAUCCUGUAUAUAUGUUUGACUAAUCUUAGUCCGGAGAUAUGAUUAAAAGCAUUAGCAGGACAACGAGCAUCUUGAAGGCGCAGUUCGUGACGGCGAAGAUGUCAAGAUGCCGGAUCUUGUCGGCGACGGCCACACCAUUGCCCAGAGCCCUUUGUCAAAUUGACAUGAACUACUGCAAACUGUUCUUGAUCUCCGCAUGUGACGACACCUAAAUCAUAGGUUUUUUUUUUUUGUAACUUCCUCCUUUUUUCUCUCUCUCUCUUGAAGAAGAAACUUUUAAAGUUCAAUUUCUUAUGUUUCUUCUCAAGCGAAACGCAAAUUAAGUUUUUGAGCUGAAACUUUAUUCCUAACAAUUUCAUUUAGAUCUGGGUAAUUGUAAAUGAUAUAAGUUCUUGACUAACAUUCAAUAUGAGUAUAAAUACAUAAUAGAUUUGACUAACAUUCAAUAAGAUUUAUCUGUCUUCAUAUGAUUUAGGAGUGAAUUCAAGAAAGAUACGCAUGUUUUCAGUUUGAAACUCAUACAUGAAUGGGGAUGAGAUUGGGCAUAUAUAUAUCUAUAGUCUCAUUAUAUUUAGUUUAAUGUAUGAAAACUAUUUGCAAAUUUGUUGCUUGAACCAGCAGUCUUCAUUUCACAUUGUGCGGGCUAUGCGGAAUUUUCCUGUUGCUUGAUUGUGCUGUCAAAGUUUUGGACACACUGGAGGUUUCGGUUGCUCAUUUGUUCCAUUUGUACCUGCUGCUUGCAUGCUCAUAAAUACCUACCUACUUAGUGAUCUUGGAAUUUAGCUUGUGGUAUGCCUUCAAAAUUUUAUAGUGAUCACGAGUUCAAGGUUAUUUAACAGACUAAGAGCAAGCUCAAGGGUUGAAAUGUUGGAGCAAUUGAGGGAAUUUCUGUCAGUACAAUGGGAAUAUAACCUGAAGGACAUGAAUGAGGAGUUCUAAUCCCCUGUAAAUACUCCCAAAUAAGUGGCGAAGUGACUCAACAUCGAAAAUUCUGGAUCUGCUUUAGAGAAGUAAUGGAAUAGUUUUAUUCUUUAUUUUAUUUAGAUUUGUAUCAAUAUUACACAAGGUAGGAAAACUUGUCCACUGAGACAAUGCAGUAGGUGUGUAACUUUAUGAAUGCCACAUUGUAUUUUGAUUGUUUUGAGAUUAUUAAUGAAAAUAAUGCACUUAUGAUCAAA